RNAcentral lists this ribosomal RNA (253 nucleotides) under uncultured bacterium. Its description in RNAcentral is "partial 16S ribosomal RNA". It matches the Rfam family "Bacterial small subunit ribosomal RNA", at positions 524 to 776 of the family's 1533-position model. The record is from RNAcentral.
UACGUAGGGUGCGAGCGUUGUCCGGAAUUAUUGGGCGUAAAGAGCUUGUAGGCGGUUUGUCGCGUCUGCCGUGAAAAUUCGAGGCUCAACCUCGAACUUGCGGUGGGUACGGGCAGACUAGAGUGUGGUAGGGGAGACUGGAAUUCCUGGUGUAGCGGUGAAAUGCGCAGAUAUCAGGAGGAACACCGGUGGCGAAGGCGGGUCUCUGGGCCGUAACUGACGCUGAGGAGCGAAAGCGUGGGGAGCGAACAGG